This 815-nucleotide long non-coding RNA is filed under the name Malus domestica (apple). RNAcentral describes it as "long non-coding RNA (MDOM_LNC017879)". Lineage: Eukaryota; Viridiplantae; Streptophyta; Magnoliopsida; Rosales; Rosaceae. The record is from RNAcentral.
UAUCAAUGUUUUUCAUACAAUAUGAAAUACAUAAAUCACCUUUCUGCGUAUGCAUAAAGGAUUCUAUUCACGCAUUAUUUCUUUGGGAGUCAAAGGGUACAUUCCCUUUGAGAAGAGCUACCUCCUAGUCUCACUAGAGUUGUUCUUCUGAUUGAAGUUUAUUAUCAUAUGAGAAACUUCCUAGCACCUUUUGUCUAUUAUUAGGGCUUGAUAUAAUCCAAUUAUAUCUUGAAAUCUAUCAUUAUAGAUUUCCAUCCCAUGUAUUUAGACUAUAUCUCUCAUAUACAUUCUAUCGUUAUAGAAUGUUUAAAGUCAUAACUUUAACGAAGACAUAUUCUAUUCAUUUCCAAAAUUAAUAUAUCAUAUAUAUAUAUAUAUUCAAAUUUAGGAAUAUGAUUAACUCCCACUAAUCUUUUGUAAACAUAGUAAACAAAAGAUUCGUUUACAUCUUUAUGAGAAAUCAAACGAUUUGAUCUUUCUCUCAUAAGACGCUUAUAGCUCCCACUAGCUUGCUAAGAUCCAUGAUGGAUAGAUCUCUACAACUGACAUGUCUUGUGAUUCAUAGUUUUAGACAUAUAUAUUAUCAAGACUAUCUUAAUAAUGGUUUUGGAAACCCAUAUUAUGUCCAAACAUUGAAUCACCAUUUAGUUGUAGCUAGCAAUCUUCGAAUUAAUUGAAAACAAGACUACGUCAAAGAUGGUUUCUUCAAAGUCAACCAAUCUUAUUGAUUGUAGUCACCUUAAGCUACCAAUUAGCUGUGAAGGUUUCAUUAUUUCGGGUCAAAUGGUACUUUACCAUUUCCUUGAGUAUAUGUC